This is a long non-coding RNA of Anneissia japonica, 700 nucleotides long. RefSeq lists it as uncharacterized. The transcript is spliced from 4 exons. NCBI's taxonomy places the organism in Eukaryota, Metazoa, Echinodermata, Crinoidea, Comatulida, Comatulidae. The record is from RefSeq and is a predicted model, not a curated record.
UCUAGCAUAACCUUUAAAACAUUUGAUUCAAUUCUUUGUAGCCAAUUCAUGUCAUGCAGAAUUUCAUGAACCGACUACGCCUAGGAUUGACACGAAAACCGAGACCGUGAUCUAACUACAGAUGUUAUUGCGAUCAACAUACAGUAUACCAAUUCUUGUUAUGCAGAAUGAUUUCAACUCUGUUGUGGAUUUUAGAUGCUCAGGUGUCAAAUCCAAGAUGGUCAAUGGGAGACAGCUACUAUUUUUUUCACUUUUACCAAGUAGACGACACAUUGAAAGCAAAUAAAAGCACUAGACAUGAUUCAUACCAUAUAUCCCCAACCACCAACGAUCAAGAGAGGAAUUUAUACUGAUGGUUACUCAAGAUUUUGUCUGUCAUCAAAUUAACACGCUGAACGCAAUUUGCCAAUCAAGGUGCGAGUUAUCGCUUACAUUUUUUCGUCAUUCAAGAAUCAAGAAUAACCUAUUGCUGAUAUAGCAUAUAACAUAAUACAGCCAAAAUCUAUAUGGGUUAUAUUUGUGAGAAAAACUUUUGAACCCAGAAUGCUAGAAUUGGAAGGCAGAAAUUUUAACCACCAACAAUUUUUUAUAUUUUUUUUUUAGUAAAUAGUUAGUAGUAUUGUUUGUAUUAUCUCAGUCAUGUUUUACUUAGAAUAUCAAUGCACCAGCAAACAACCCAAGGGUGAUACUGGUCUUUAGC